GACGAACGCUGGCGGCGUGCUUAACACAUGCAAGUCGAGCGGUAAGGCCCUUUCGGGGGUACGACGAGCGGCGAACGGGUGAGUAACACGUGGGUGACCUGCCCUCAGCUCUGGGAUAAAGCCUGGGAAACCGGGUCUAAUACCGGAUAUGACUCCAUGACGCAUGUUGUGGGGUGGAAAGCCUUGUGCGGCUGAGGAUGGGCCCGCGGCCUAUCAGCUUGUUGGUGGGGGAUGGCCUACCAAGGCGACGACGGGUAGCCGGCCUGAGAGGGCGACCGGCCACACUGGGACUGAGACACGGCCCAGACUCCUACGGGAGGCAGCAGUGGGGAAUCUUGCGCAAUGGGCGAAAGCCUGACGCAGCGACGCCGCGUGAGGGAUGACGGCCU
This 389-nucleotide ribosomal RNA is filed under the name uncultured bacterium. RNAcentral describes it as "bacterial SSU rRNA". It matches the Rfam family "Bacterial small subunit ribosomal RNA", at positions 28 to 417 of the family's 1533-position model. The record is from RNAcentral.